AUUGCUUUUUACUCAUGGUUUCACCAUAGGAACAGAAACCCUAACUAAGACAAGUUGGUAUCAGGAGUGGGGUGUUGUAGUGACAGAACUGACCGUGUUGUUUUGGGGAUGCUUGUGGAAGGACUUUGGAAUUUUGUGCAAGAAAAAUUGAGUGUUGAGUGCCUGGUGAGCUGUUCUGUGGGAACUUGGAAGAUAAGGAGGUCGAGAGCAAAGCAGAAGGCAGAAGCUUGGCUUGUAAAGUUUCAGAGGAAAGUUUAAAGACUCUAUGAGGACCAUUUGUUACUUUGAAUAAAAAAAUUCUGUGAUUCUGAUUUGCCAGGGUUGGAGAAUCAGCUGUGACUUAUAAGAUACCAGAACUACUGAAGUGAAACCUUGGCUUUGCUGGAACACUCGAUAUUGGUUGGCUGGAGUUGAGAAAUAAAUUGUGAUAAACAAGAGACCAGCAAUGUUGAGGUGAAAUCUGGAGAGUGUUUCCCGGGGAGAGCCAUCACACAGAAGCUGUGUUCAGAGGUGGCCAAAGUUGUACCUUGAUCUGGUAGCUCAAGGUGUAAGAGUUACCAGGUGGUACUGGUUUUGAAGGCCUGAAGGGGUCAUGGGAGAGCUGUGCUUGACGCUGUGAGAGGCCAGGAGAGGUCAUUGGUAAAAAUGCAGCUUCAGUAGCAGUUAAAGGCUCAGGGUUGAAGGGGUCAUGCAAAGAAGUUGAAGCUUGGCACCACGAAAAGAGCCAAAUGAGAGGCUAUUGGUAAAAAGGCAGCCCAGUUGCCACAAAAGACCCUAGUGUUUUGGAGACACCGGCACAAUGGGAUGGCCACCAAGAACAGCAGCAGCAGCAGUGGAGGGGAGCCAGCCUGAAUCUAGAAGACAGGCUGUGCAUGCUGCAGGGGAUGGAGCUGGAGAAGUGACCCAAGUCCAGAAGACUGAGUAAAUCCCAGAAUUCUACAGUUGAGAGACUUUAAACUUUUGAAGAAGAGAUUUUGGGGCUUUAAGGAGAAUUUGGAUUUUAAGAGACUUGAUAUUUUUAAAGAGACAAUUUAUAGCAUGUUUCAAAUGACUGAGCUAAUAGCCCAGCAAAAUUGAUUGAAUACAGCUGAGCCACAGGAGCCUCCACCAUCAGUCUAGAAGCCCAGAGAGCAGAGACAAGUCUGCUUGAAAGCCUCCAACAGGAAACCGAGAAACAGCUCUUCCAGUCUCUAGAAGCCAGGGACAACAGGCUACAUCAGCUGUCUUCUUUUGCCUGGACUGUGUAUGAACUCUGAGAAAAAGAACUUAUCGACAGUAUCUGUGAUGUUAGCCAGAGUGGCUCACGUCUGUAAUCUCAGCACUUCGAGAACAUGGGCAGAACCAUUACUGUAAGCUUGGGGGCCAGCCAGAGUGUUUACAGAGUGAGACCCCUGACUCAAACACAUUGAAAGAGAAACAAAGCAAAGCAGGAUUGUGCGUGUGCCUGUGUGUGUUAGCAUACACCAUCCCUGCCUCCACCCUCCUCUCUGCAUAGCCCGCGUGUGUCCUGUUUAACAAAAUGGGUCCCUUGGUACACAAGGGACACCAGGGAUCAGUUUUCUUAGGAAAUGGGACAUGGUUGUGUUCACUAAAUAAGCAAAGUAAGCCAGGUGUCCUGGCACAUACCUUUAAUCCCGGCAGAGGCAGGUGGAUCUCUAGGAGUUUGAGGCCAGUCUGGGUUACAUAGGGAGUUCCAGGACAGCCAGGGCUGUGUAGAGGGACCCUAUCUCCAAAAACAAAAAUAAAAAAUAAAACAAAAAAUAAACAAGGUAGGAUAGAUCAGAGCUUUUAAAGUGAACGAGUUUGAGGGAUGAGGGUGUGGGCAGAGAGAACCGCAAUCAAGAUCAAAGUGAUUUAGAUCAUAUUGGGGAAGGCAUCUGGGUGCUGUAGGGAAGGACCCACUGGGUUCCUAGGCUGCCUCUCCUACAAGGGGGGAUAGCUCUGGGUUGUGUGGCUUGCUGCUUUCAGUCUCCAAUCUCUUAGUCAGCAUACCUUGUUGUCAGCUGUUCAUGCACAUUCAGCCACAUGGGGCCUUCCAUUGACUCCCUCCUAGAGCUUCUUCCCAUGGCCAAGUUAGCUUUCAUGGCAUGCCUAAGACGCCCCAGAGGGACAACUGUUGCAUAUUUGACAUGGUCUGCUGCUAUUGGAUUAGAGGCUCACAGAGGACUUACUCAGACAUAUCACACAGGAGAGAACACCUUGGUGACUAAAGCGCUCUUGGCCACAGUGCCCAAAUACUCUUCAACUCAGAUCAUAUUUCAAGCGAAAGGUCUCAUGUGUCUUUGGCUUCAGACUUGUGUGAUCUUGUCACUCUUUGGGUCACGGGCUGUCAUCAUUUGUUCAUUUAAUUCACUCAUUUGACUUCGUUUCAUAGUUUAUUUGUGUCUUCGCUCUUCUGUCGGGAGGAGACACAGUGACAAUACACAGUUGCCCUCUCUAUAUUUCUAGGAUCACAUUUAAGACUUAAGUCCUUGGCGUCAUCUUUGGUUUUCCCCUCUUCACUGGUUAGUGUCUCUUCUCACUCUGCUAUGUCCAUCCAGAAGAUUCUUUCAUACUUAGCACACCCUGAAGUGCUUUCAUCUCACUGAUGAGUCUUGUCUAUUUCCCACAUCAGCUUUUCUAUUGUUGCCUUUUUGAGUCAUCUUUAGCUCUAUCCCAGAUAAGGUUUUCUGGACCUGUCUUUUUUUACUUACCACAUGUUGGAGUGUACUCCAGCGCCAGUGAGUCCCUGAUCGCUUUUCAGACUCUGCUGCAUCUUCAUGCUGUUAGGACUUUUGAAAAACCAAGGUUAUACCUUUCUUGUUGAAUCUGCACCUACCUUGACAUUUUGCCCAUUCUCCCCACCUGAGAUAUUCGAGUUCAAAUCUUACCCUUCCUGAGAAACCCUCCCUGGUUCCUCCAACUUGGCUCUGUAUCCAUUGCAAACUUGAAUGUACAUUAAAAGCAUACUACACACUCAAGGGGAAUUUGUUUAUAUUAUUAACUUAUGACUUAGCAAAAUCAGGUUCAUAUGGGGACAUGUGUUAAUGCUACUCAGUGGGGGAUUUGCCAAGGGCCUGAGCUGAAAUAUGCAUUUAUUUCUUCAUUUAUUCAGUCUCCAAGGACUGGCCUGAGAGGGAUCAGAGACAAAGAAACUUAGCAGUAAGGUGUGAAGGCUGAGUAGUAAGGAAAGAUCCUUAGGGUGGGUUGACAAAUCCUCUGUAGAAAUAGAGAUGGUUGAACUAUAGCUGGAAGGGUAAAUAGCUGUAUUAAUAAUUCUAAGUUUCUUUGUCCACAUCUUGAAGCCAGGAUAUUUUUUUGAUCCAUGUAUACAUUUAAUAUACCAAUGUUUCUGUCCAACCCCCAAGCUUGAAACUGUAGGCAUCAUCACACCCAACUGAAUACCAUAUAUCUGAACAGUACUCAGGAGGCUGAGGCAAGACGGUCAUGAGUUUGAGGCCAGCCUGGGCUAGAAUGUAGUACAAAGACAAAGAAAAAAUAUUACUGUAGUGAGAUUCUGGAGGUUGUACAAUAUAUUUUCACUUUAAAAAAUGCUAGGUUUGGGGUUGCAAUGUGUUUGUUCCCAAGUGCUGCUUUGAGAAAUCAAUGUGAUGUUCUCUCAUGGUUCUGCAGGCCAUCAAUGCAAGCGUAUCUUAAAGACGUGAAACCAAGAUGGCAGCAUAUCUGAUAAUUUCUAGGGACUAUGGGUGGGUCUAGUCCGUGUCUUUUCCAGCUUCUAGAGGCCUCCUGCAUUCCUGGACUUUAGGCCCCUUCUUCCAGUUUACUUCUGUUAUCCCUGGCCUUCUGACUCUGACUCCUAUAGGAGCCAGCCAUGAUAUGAACAGAUCACCCAAAGGAAGUUUUUACUUCCAACCAUUAUCACCUGCCAGUGUAGGACUCGGGCAUCGAUAAGUUUAAUAGAGGCCCGAGUCUCAGUAGUUUACCCUGAAGCAAUACCUGGUGGCAGAAAGGACCAUAAAUUAAGAUUCCCUGAGCACCACUCAAGAACAGACCAUCCAAAGGAAAUGCCUAAUGUUCCAACCGCUGUAGAUAGGAUCACCUGCCAGAACACACUCACCAGGAUACCCCUAGACAAAUGUCAGCCAAUCAGCGGUCCUGAAGCUCAGAAACCCCUCAGUCCCACGUUUAUUACUAUAAAAACCCAACUCUAACUGAGCUCAGGGCUCUCCGUUUAUUCCAAUACAUUGGACAUGCGGAGAGACUGAGUUUGCAAACUUGCAUAAAAUAAAGGCUCUUUGCUUUUACAUGUAGCACUCAGUCUCCUUGUUGGCUUUUGGGGGACUUUGCAGAUUUGGGCAUAACAACUCCCCUCCUUCCAAUCAGAGCCAC
Molecule: long non-coding RNA, 4329 nt
Organism: Alexandromys fortis (reed vole)
Lineage: Eukaryota; Metazoa; Chordata; Mammalia; Rodentia; Cricetidae
Exons: 3
Source: RefSeq, a predicted model, not a curated record